This 252-nucleotide ribosomal RNA is filed under the name uncultured bacterium. Its description in RNAcentral is "partial 16S ribosomal RNA". It matches the Rfam family "Bacterial small subunit ribosomal RNA", at positions 524 to 776 of the family's 1533-position model. The record is from RNAcentral.
UACGGAGGAUGCGAGCGUUAUCCGGAUUUAUUGGGUUUAAAGGAUGCGUAGGCGGGAUGCCAAGUCAGCGGUAAAAAUUCGGGGCUCAACCCCGUCCGGCCGUUGAAACUGGGGGCCUUGAGUGGGCGAGAAGAAGGCGGAAUGCGUGGUGUAGCGGUGAAAUGCAUAGAUAUCACGCAGAACCCCGAUUGCGAAGGCAGCCUUCCGGCGCCCUACUGACGCUGAGGCACGAAAGUGCGGGGAUCGAACAGG